Molecule: ribosomal RNA, 1949 nt
Filed under: human gut metagenome
Description: bacterial LSU rRNA
Rfam family: Bacterial large subunit ribosomal RNA
Source: RNAcentral
UCAAGCUACAAAGGGCGCAUGGUGAAUGCCUUGGCAUCAGGAGCCGAUGAAGGACGUGAUAAGCUGCGAUAAGCUUCGGGUAGGCGCACAUAGCCAGUGAUCCGGAGAUUUCCGAAUGUGGGAACACACAUGGGAAACCCCAUGUAUCGUAUAGUGAAUACAUAGCUAUACGAGGGUAAACCUAGGGAACUGAAACAUCUAAGUACCUAGAGGAAGAGAAAGAAAAAUCGAUUUCCUUAGUAGCGGCGAGCGAAAGGGAAAGAGCCCAAACCAAAGAUUUAUCUUUGGGGUUGCGGACAGAACAUUAAAGUGGAGGCUAUUGUAAUUGAAGAGUACUGGAAAGUACCACCGUAGAAGGUAAUAGUCCUGUAAGUAAAACGAGAAGACCACGAGUUCUGAUCCAGAGUACCACGAGACACGUGAAACCUUGUGGGAAGCAGGGAGGACCACCUCCCAAGGCUAAAUACUACCUGAUGACCGAUAGUGAAGCAGUACCGUGAGGGAAAGGUGAAAAGAACCCCGGGAGGGGAGUGAAAUAGAACCUGAAACCGUGUGCCUACAACCGGUCAAAGCCCCUUAUGAGGGUGAUGACGUGCUUUUUGUAGAACGAGCCAACGAGUUACGGUAUGUAGCAAGGUUAAGUACUUAAGGUACGGAGCCGAAGGGAAACCGAGUCUUAAUAGGGCGACUAGUUGCAUGCCGUAGACCCGAAACCGGGUGACCUAUCCAUGGCCAGGUUGAAGCGAGGGUAAAACUUCGUGGAGGACCGAACCACGUUGCUGUUGAAAAAGCAUGGGAUGAGCUGUGGAUAGCGGAGAAAUUCCAAUCGAACUCGGAGAUAGCUGGUUCUCCCCGAAAUAGCUUUAGGGCUAGCGUCGGAUAUGUGUAGUGGAGGUAGAGCACUGAAUGGGCUAGGGGGCAUAUCGCUUACCGAACCUUAUCAAACUCCGAAUGCCAUAUACAUUAAGUCCGGCAGUCAGACUACGAAUGAUAAGAUCCGUGGUCAAAAGGGAAACAGCCCAGAUCGUCAGCUAAGGUCCCAAAGUGUAAGUUAAGUGGAAAAGGAUGUGGGAUUUCUAAGACAACUAGGAUGUUGGCUUAGAAGCAGCCACUCAUUUAAAGAGUGCGUAAUAGCUCACUAGUCGAGAGAUCCUGCGCCGAAAAUGUCCGGGGCUCAAACUUACCACCGAAGCUACGGGCUUGCGUAAGCAAGCGGUAGGGGAGCGUCGUAAUCGGGCUGAAGUCGUACCGUAAGGAGCGGUGGACUGAUUACGAGUGAGAAUGUUGGCAUUAGUAGCGAGAUGUAGGUGAGAAUCCUACAGGCCGAAUAUCUAAGGUUUCCUCAGGAAGGCUCGUCCGCUGAGGGUUAGUCGGGACCUAAGCCGAGGCCGAAAGGCGUAGGCGAUGGACAAUCGGUUGAUAUUCCGAUACCACUACCAUCGUUAUUAUCGAGGGUGUGACGGAGAAGGAUAGUGUGUGCUAGCGAUUGGAAAUGCUAGUCUAAGCGUUUAGGGAGUUACGGUAGGCAAAUCCGCUGUAACAAUUCUGAGGCGUGAUGGGGAAGGCCAUAUAGGCCGAAGUACAUGAUUCCAUGCUUCCAAGAAAAGCAUCUAGAGAGAGAAGUAGUGCCCGUACCGCAAACCGACACAGGUAGAUGAGGAGAGAAUCCUAAGGCCGGCGGAAGAAUUGCAGUUAAGGAACUAGGCAAAUUGACCCCGUAAGUUCGCGAGAAGGGGUGCCUGUGAGAGCAGGCCGCAGAGAAUAGGCCCAAGCAACUGUUUAGCAAAAACACAGGUCUCUGCUAAAGCGCAAGCUGAUGUAUAGGGGCUGACGCCUGCCCGGUGCUGGAAGGUUAAGGGGAACACUUAGCGCAAGCGAAGGUGUGAACUUAAGCCCCAGUAAACGGCGGCCGUAACUAUAACGGUCCUAAGGUAGCGAAAUUCCUUGUC